UACGUAGGGGGCAAGCGUUAUCCGGAUUUACUGGGUGUAAAGGGAGCGCAGGCGGUCCUGCAAGUCUGAUGUGAAAGCCCGGGGCUCAACCCCGGGACUGCAUUGGAAACUGUGGGACUUGAGUGUCGGAGGGGCAAGUGGAAUUCCUAGUGUAGCGGUGAAAUGCGUAGAUAUUAGGAGGAACACCAGUGGCGAAGGCGGCUUGCUGGACGACAACUGACGCUGAGGCUCGAAAGCGUGGGGAGCAAACAGG
RNAcentral lists this ribosomal RNA (253 nucleotides) under uncultured bacterium. RNAcentral describes it as "partial 16S ribosomal RNA". It matches the Rfam family "Bacterial small subunit ribosomal RNA", at positions 524 to 776 of the family's 1533-position model. The record is from RNAcentral.